Molecule: ribosomal RNA, 377 nt
Filed under: uncultured Phycisphaerae bacterium
Lineage: Bacteria; Pseudomonadati; Planctomycetota; Phycisphaerae
Description: bacterial SSU rRNA
Rfam family: Bacterial small subunit ribosomal RNA
Source: RNAcentral
UAAGACGAAGGUGGCAAGCGUUGUUCGGUGUUACUGGGCUUAAAGCGUGUGUAGGCGGAAAGGUAAGCGUCCUGUGAAAUCCCCCGGCUUAACCGGGGAAUUGCUGGACGAACUGCCUUUCUUGAGGCAAGUAGGGGUGCAUGGAACUCUUGGUGGAGCGGUGGAAUGCGUAGAUAUCAAGAGGAACGCCGGCGGUGAAAACGGUGCACUGGGCUUGUCCUGACGCUGAGACACGAAAGCGUGGGUAGCGAACGGGAUUAGAUACCCCGGUAGUCCACGCCGUAAACGAUGCCUACUAGGUUGUGAAAGUUCUGACACUGGCACAGCCGAAGCAAAAGUGAUAAGUAGGCCGCCUGGGGAGUACGGUCGCAAGGCUA